RNAcentral lists this non-coding RNA (99 nucleotides) under Lacticaseibacillus thailandensis. RNAcentral's name for it is "Lactobacillus thailandensis Guanine sequence". It matches the Rfam family "Purine riboswitch aptamer". Rfam says of the family: Riboswitches are metabolite binding domains within certain messenger RNAs that serve as precision sensors for their corresponding targets. RNAcentral also lists the same sequence under 1 other name. Lineage: Bacteria; Bacillati; Bacillota; Bacilli; Lactobacillales; Lactobacillaceae. The record is from RNAcentral.
AGCUUUUACAAAUUAUUUGCCUAUAUAAUGCCAUGAUGUGGAUGGUCAGUUUCUACCCGGACCCGUAAAGCCCGGACUAUAGGUGUGAGAUGCAUAGCG